RNAcentral lists this small nuclear RNA (60 nucleotides) under Vicugna pacos (alpaca). RNAcentral describes it as "U7 small nuclear RNA (ENSVPAG00000017504.1)". It matches the Rfam family "U7 small nuclear RNA". Rfam says of the family: Animal histone pre-mRNAs are spliced by a different mechanism than nuclear pre-mRNAs and self-splicing introns. This processing involves the U7 snRNP, which contains only one RNA species: U7. Lineage: Eukaryota; Metazoa; Chordata; Mammalia; Artiodactyla; Camelidae. The record is from RNAcentral.
AAAUGUCACAGCUCUUUAGAAUUUGUUUAGCAGGUUUUCUGGUCCACAUGGGAAUCCUGC